GACGAACGCUGGCGGCGUGCCUAAUACAUGCAAGUCGAGCGAAUGAUGAGGAGCUUGCUCCUCUGAUUUAGCGGCGGACGGGUGAGUAACACGUGGGCAACCUGCCCUGUAGACUGGGAUAACUUCGGGAAACCGGAGCUAAUACCGGAUAAUUCUUUUAGCCUCAUGGCUUUAAGCUAAAAGGCGCUUCGGCGUCACUACAGGAUGGGCCCGCGGUGCAUUAGCUGGUUGGUGGGGUAAUGGCCUACCAAGGCAACGAUGCAUAGCCGACCUGGGAGGGUGAUCGGCCACAUUGGGACUGAGACACGGCCCAAACUCCUACGGGAGGCAGCAGUAGGGAAUCUUCCACAAUGGACGAAAGUCUGAUGGAGCAACGCCGCGUGAGUGAUGAAGGUUUUCGGAUCGUAAAACCCUGUUGUAAGGGAAGGACAAGUGCGUUAGGUAAUGAACGCACCUUGACGGUACCUUAUUAGAAAGCCACGGCUAACUACGUGCCAGCAGCCGCCGUAA
Molecule: ribosomal RNA, 510 nt
Filed under: uncultured bacterium
Lineage: Bacteria
Description: partial 16S ribosomal RNA
Rfam family: Bacterial small subunit ribosomal RNA
Source: RNAcentral